Molecule: ribosomal RNA, 931 nt
Filed under: Enterobacter ludwigii
Lineage: Bacteria; Pseudomonadati; Pseudomonadota; Gammaproteobacteria; Enterobacterales; Enterobacteriaceae
Description: bacterial SSU rRNA
Rfam family: Bacterial small subunit ribosomal RNA
Source: RNAcentral
UCGUAACAAGGUAACCGUAAAGUUUGAUCCGGGGUCAGGAGUUCUUAACCUGGGAACCGGAAAGAUGGAGGGGGGUAACUACAGUAAAAACAAGGUAACAGCGAAUAUUGUCCCGGGACCCGGAAGGGGGACCUUCGGGCCUCUUGCCAUCAAAUGUGCCCCCAUGGGAUUAUCUAGUAGGUGGGGUAACGGCUCACCUAGGCGACGAUCCCUAGCUGGUCUGAGAGGAUGACCAGCCACACUGGAACUGAGACACGGUCCAGACUCCUACGGGAGGCAGCAGUGGGGAAUAUUGCACAAUGGGCGCAAGCCUGAUGCAGCCAUGCCGCGUGUAUGAAAAAAGCCUUCGGGUUGUAAAGUACUUUCAGCGGGGAGGAAGGUGUUGAGGUUAAUAACCUCUUCAAUUGACGUUACCCGCACAAGAAGCACCGGCUAACUCCGUGCCACCAGCCGCGGUAAUACGGAGGGUGCAAACGUUAAUCGGAAUUACUGGGCGUAAAGCGCACACAGGCGGUCUGUCAGUCGGAUGUGAAAUCCCCGGGCUCAACCUGGGAACUGCAUUCUAAACUGGGAGGCUAUAGUCUUGUAUAGGGGGGUAGAAUUCCAGGUGUAGCGGUGAAAUGCGUAGAGAUCUGGAGGAAUACCGGUGGCGAAAGCGGCCCCCUGUACAAAGACUGACGCUCACGUGCUAAAACGUGGGGAGCAAAACAGGAUUUAGAUACCCUGGGAUCCACGCCGCAAACGAUGUCGACUUGGGAGGUUGUGCCCUUGAGGCGUGGCUUUCUGGAGCUAACGCGUUAAGUCGACCGCCUGUGGAGAACGGCCGCAAGGUUAAAACUCACAUGAAUUGACGGGGGGCCGCACAAACGGGUGGAGAAUGGUGGGUUUAAUUUUGAUUGCUACGCUGAAAACCCUUUACUCUUACUUUUUU